RNAcentral lists this ribosomal RNA (488 nucleotides) under uncultured bacterium. RNAcentral describes it as "bacterial SSU rRNA". It matches the Rfam family "Bacterial small subunit ribosomal RNA", at positions 38 to 507 of the family's 1533-position model. The record is from RNAcentral.
GACGAACGGCUGGGCGGCGUGGAUUAGGCAUGCAAGUCGAACGGUAUCAUCCUUUCGGGGGUGAGAGAGUGGCGAACUGGUGAGUAACACGUAGGUUAUCUACCCUCAAGACGGGACAACCCAGGGAAACUUGGGCUAAUACCGGAUGUGAGCAACUUUUAGUUGUUUGAAAGGUGGCGUAAGCUGUCGCUUGGGGAUGAGCCUGCGUCCUAUUAGUUAGUUGGUGAGGUAACGGCUCACCUAGGCAAUGAUAGGUAGGCGGCCUUAACGGAUGGUCGCCCACACUGGGAUUGAGAUACGGCCCAGACUCCUACGGGAGGCAGCAGUCGAGAAUAGUCUACAAUGGUCGGAAGACUGAUAGUGCGACGCCGCGUGAACGAUGAAUCCCUUCGGGGUGUAAAGUUCUUUUAUAUGUGAGCAGUGCUUCUUAUAUUAACAGUAUGGGGAGAGAGAUAUUAGCAUAUGAAUAAGCAACGGCUAACUCCGUG